This 301-nucleotide ribosomal RNA is filed under the name uncultured bacterium. RNAcentral describes it as "partial 16S ribosomal RNA". It matches the Rfam family "Bacterial small subunit ribosomal RNA", at positions 509 to 807 of the family's 1533-position model. The record is from RNAcentral.
CAGUAGCCGCGGGAAUACGAGGGGGGCAAGCGUUGUUCGGAAUUAUUGGGCGUAAAGGGUGCGUAGGCGGUUUGACAAGUCUUAUGUGAAAUCUCUGGGCUCAACCCAGAGUCUGCAUGGGAAACUGUCGGGCUUGAGUGCAGAAGAGGAGAGUGGAAUUCCACGUGUAGCGGUGAAAUGCGUAGAGAUGUGGAGGAACACCAGUGGCGAAGGCGACUCUCUGGUCUGUAACUGACGCUGAGGAGCGAAAGCGUGGGGAGCGAACAGGAUUAGAUACCCCGGUAGUCCCUGUCUCUUAUAC